UAUGUUAACUGAUUUCAUGGAU
This 22-nucleotide microRNA is filed under the name Glycine max (soybean). RNAcentral's name for it is "gma-miR4382". Lineage: Eukaryota; Viridiplantae; Streptophyta; Magnoliopsida; Fabales; Fabaceae. The record is from miRBase by way of RNAcentral.